Long non-coding RNA from Oryza sativa Japonica Group (Japanese rice), 1187 nucleotides. RefSeq lists it as uncharacterized. Lineage: Eukaryota; Viridiplantae; Streptophyta; Magnoliopsida; Poales; Poaceae. The record is from RefSeq and is a predicted model, not a curated record.
AAACCCUAACCCUCCGCACUUCAUCUCGCAUCGCGUUCGCCGCCGCUCGGAUCCCCUUCCCACGCGUCCCUCCUCCUCCCUUCGUCCACCAUCCACAACCCCCUCGGAUCCCCUUCCGCCUCCCCCUCCGCUCCUCCCGCCGCCAGCCCGUCGCAGCUGCAGCCCGUCAGGCGUCCCUGACGAGUGGGGCGACUGCUCGCCCUCCGCGCCCGAGCCGCCCUCCCAGCCCGACCCCCCAAUCGACGACGACGAGUGGGGCCGGGACGACCCCUCGUCCUCCGGCACCGGGUGGGGCGAGCCGGGUGUGUCCGAACCCCAAUCCACCUCCGCCGCCGACGACGAGUAGGGUGGGGAACUGGGGAUCCGGCGCCACCGCCACCACCACCUCCUGCCACCGGCGGGGAUGGACCGUGGUGGGGGUGGGGGUGAUGCCUCCGUGGCGGCGCUGCUGCUGCCGUCGGCGCCGAUGGCGUACGCGGUGGUGACUGACCCGGGGACGGUCGACACCCCUGACAUGCCCAGCUACCAGCCAUACGUGUACGGCCGCCUCGACCCCCUGCGCUGAUCCCGCUCCAGAUGAAGGAGGUCGACCUGUCCGUCGACUGCGCGCUCGGCGAGGCCGCCGUCAUCCGUCCGCGCGCGGUGGUGGCUGCACUUCAUCACCCGCAGCCGCGACUGUGACGUCCGCGUCGUCGUGCCCAUGGGCGACCAGCCUUCUAAGACAAUUAUGUCAGGACCAACUAAUUUUCCUCCCUCUGGCCAUUUUGUGAAGACCUAAUGUUGUGGCACCACAGGCCAUAGUUUGAAUCUAAAGUGCUGCAGUUAAAUAUCUACAGAAUGUUGCACAUCAUGAAAAUCAGGGUAUGCUUCUCAUUCAGGCCAUAGCUUGAAUCUAAAGUGUAUGCAGUUAAUUCAGAAUGUUACCCAAGGUUGAAGCACCACAGAACACGGACUGUUGGAAGACAAUUUUCUUGUACAUGUGUUUGAUGAAUUGUAACUGAACACAUUUAAUUUUCCUAUGGACCAUUUGUAUAUUUCUAAAUCCGAUUUGAAUGAAUUUGUUGGUACUGAACUUAGAUGGACUAUUUUUGUAAACUUUAGAAACUUGAAUUUUGAUGUAUGAAUUGAGAUCGAUGUUCAUAUAUUUAUCCAAAUUGCUAGCAAAGGCCUGAGGCUAGCUAAAAAAA